GUAAUUUUGAUGGCUGAUAUAUAAAAAGCAAUAGACUGUAAAUCUACCUAUAAGGAUGACCUUUCAAAUUUA
RNAcentral lists this transfer RNA (72 nucleotides) under Mexistrophia reticulata. RNAcentral describes it as "tRNA-Tyr". The record is from RNAcentral. Lineage: Eukaryota; Metazoa; Mollusca; Gastropoda; Stylommatophora; Cerionidae.